GGUUAAGGGUAUGGCAGGAGUUUGAGUGUUUGGGUUAAGAGUUUUUUUACGACUUCUGGUCAUUAACAAUUCAGGCUCUAAAAGAGGGAGCCUAGAACCUCUGAGACUUAAAGCGCUCAAGACUUAAUUGAUUUUGGAAGCUUGUACUCUUCAUUAAUGUUAUUGCUUAAAUACAAAAAGGAAGUAUAACUGCUUCCUACAUUAAAGGAGCACUACUUCAACAUGGAGGAACACCCUCCUCAACUAACA
RNAcentral lists this long non-coding RNA (249 nucleotides) under Manihot esculenta (cassava). RNAcentral describes it as "long non-coding RNA (MESC_LNC012791)". Lineage: Eukaryota; Viridiplantae; Streptophyta; Magnoliopsida; Malpighiales; Euphorbiaceae. The record is from RNAcentral.